RNAcentral lists this ribosomal RNA (254 nucleotides) under uncultured bacterium. Its description in RNAcentral is "partial 16S ribosomal RNA". It matches the Rfam family "Bacterial small subunit ribosomal RNA", at positions 524 to 776 of the family's 1533-position model. The record is from RNAcentral.
UACGGAGGGUACAAGCGUUGCUCGGAAUCACUGGGCGUAAAGCGUACGCAGGCGGCUCGUUAAGUCGGGUGUGAAAGCCCGGGGCUCAACCCCGGAAUUGCGCCCGAUACUGGCGAGCUUGAGUACGGGAGAGGGAUAGCGGAAUUCCUGGUGUAGAGGUGAAAUUCGUAGAUAUCAGGAGGAACACCAGUGGCGAAAGCGGCUUCCUGGCCCGAUACUGACGCUCAUGUACGAAAGCGUGGGGAGCAAACAGG